Molecule: transfer RNA, 64 nt
Filed under: Trichinella pseudospiralis
Lineage: Eukaryota; Metazoa; Nematoda; Enoplea; Trichinellida; Trichinellidae
Description: tRNA-Lys
Source: RNAcentral
AGCUAAAUAGCUUAACCAAAAGCACAAAUCUUUUAAAUUUGGAGAUGUUUUCCACUUUAGCUAA